AAAAGCGUUAAAAAGGGCGGGAAACAUGGGGGAGGGGUGUUAUAAAUGGCGGGAAACUUGUAGAGGACCGUUAAAAUGGCGGGAAACGUGAGGAAAAGCAUUAAAAAGGGCGGGAAACAUGGGGGCGGGGGUUAAAAAUGGCGGGAAACUUGUGGAGGACCAUUAAAAAUGGCGGGAAACGCGGGAGGGGAGUUAAAAAUGGCGGGAAACUUGUAGAGGACCGUUAGAAAUGUUGGGAAACGCGAGGAAAACCGUUAAAAAGGGCAGGAAAUGGGGGGGAGGAGGGGUUAAAAAUGGCAGGAAACUUGUAGAGGACCGUUAAAAAGGGCGGGAAACGUGAGGAAAACCGUUAGAAAGGGUGGGAAACAUGGGGGAGGGGUGUUAAAAAAGGCGGGAAACUUUUAGAGGACCUUUAAAAAUGGCGGGAAACGCGGGAGGGGGGUUAAAAAUGGCAGGAAACUUCUGGAGGACCGUUAAAAAUGGCGGGAAACGCAGCCACGAUGUCGGCGCAGGCGCAGGUUCAGGCGCAGGGCCGGGCGCUGGAGGAUCGGCUGCUGCGGGUGCCGGGCCACGAGCUCCUGGCGGGGCUGCGGGAAGCCGGGGCGCUGGGGCCCACCGAGGAGGCGGCGCUGGGACCCCCGGGAGGCCGGGGCUGGGUCCGCCGGCUGCGGGCGCUGGCGCUGGCUCGCGGCGAGGAAAGCUGCCGGGCGCUGCUCUACGUCCUGGCCAGCCUGGAGGAGCCGGGGCCGCUGGGUGAGUUCCCCUUUCCCCUAUAGAUCGCCCUAUAGGCGGUCCUAUAGGUCGCUCCAUGGGUGUUUUGUGUCCUCCGUAGAUUUCUACAACCCCCGGCGCGACGCUCAGCCGUCGCACCGCUCCGAUUGUCCCUGCUGUCACCCGCCGCGGGAGGACGGAGGCCCCAAAGAGGAAGACGGAGGCCCAAAAGAGGAGGAUGGAGGCCCCAAGGAUGAGGACGGAGGCCCCAAGGACGAGGAAGGCCCCGAAGAGGAGGAGGAGAAGGGUGAAGAGGAAGGCGGAGGCCUCGAAGAGGAAGAAGGAGCCCCCGAGGAGGAGGAAGGUGAUGAAGAUGGAGGCUCCGAGGAGGAAGGUGAUGGUGAGGAGGGAGAUGGAGACCUGGAGGAGGAAGUCGGGGGCUCCGAGGAGGACGGGGACGCCGGGGGGGAAGAUGGAGGCCCUGAGGAGGAGGACGCGGGAGGCGACACCGAGUAGGAAAGAGGGGAGGGGGGGAGGCGGAGGCCCGGAGGAGGAGGAGGAUGGUGACGAAGACGGAGGCGCCGAGGAGGACGGAGACUCCUGAGGAUGGUGAUGGUGGGGAGGAAGAUGGAGACCUAGAGGAAGAGGAUGGUGAUGGAGGCCCCCGAGGAGGAAGAUGGAGGCCCCCGAGGAAGAAGAUGGAGGCCCCGAGGACGAAGAUGGGGAUGAAGACCCCUGAGGAGGAGGCCGGGGGUCCCCAAGGAAGAGGCUGGAGACCCCAUGGCGGAGGAUGAUGAUGCCGAAGGGGAAGAUGAAGGCCCCGAGGAGGAGGAAGGUGAGGGCGAGGCCGGAGGAAGGAACCCGGGGGCCGGAGAUGAUGCUGAGGAGGAAGAUGAUGAAGAGGAAGGCGACGCCAAGAGGGGAAGGGAGACCCCGAGGACGAGGAAGGUGAUGGUGAGGAGGAGGAAGAUGACCCUGGAGCCUCCGAAGAGGAGGACGGGGAUGAAGGUGGAGGCCCUGAGGAGGAAGACGAUGGUGAGGAGGAAGAUGAAGGCCCCGAGGAAGAAGAUGGAGGCCCCGAGGAGGAAGAGGAUGGAUUUAGGGUGAGAAACGAGCC
This is a long non-coding RNA of Anser brachyrhynchus (Pink-footed goose), 1828 nucleotides long. The record is from Ensembl. Lineage: Eukaryota; Metazoa; Chordata; Aves; Anseriformes; Anatidae.